AAGUCUGACGGAGCACGCCGCGUGAGUGAUGAAGGUUUUCGGAUCGUAAAGCUCUGUUGUUAGGGAAGAACAAGUACCGUUCGAAUAGGGCGGUACCUUGACGGUACCUAACCAGAAAGCCACGGCUAACUACGUGCCAGCAGCCGCGGUAAUACGUAGGUGGCAAGCGUUGUCCGGAAUUAUUGGGCGUAAAGGGCUCGCAGGCGGUUUCUUAAGUCUGAUGUGAAAGCCCCCGGCUCAACCGGGGAGGGUCAUUGGAAACUGGGGAACUUGAGUGCAGAAGAGGAGAGUGGAAUUCCACGUGUAGCGGUGAAAUGCGUAGAGAUGUGGAGGAACACCAGUGGCGAAGGCGACUCUCUGGUCUGUAACUGACGCUGAGGAGCGAAAGCGUGGGGAGCGAACAGGAUUAGAUACCCUGGUAGUCCACGCCGUAAACGAUGAGUGCUAAGUGUUAGGGGGUUUCCGCCCCUUAGUGCUGCAGCUAACGCAUUAAGCACUCCGCCUGGGGAG
Molecule: ribosomal RNA, 510 nt
Filed under: Bacillus subtilis
Lineage: Bacteria; Bacillati; Bacillota; Bacilli; Caryophanales; Bacillaceae
Description: bacterial SSU rRNA
Rfam family: Bacterial small subunit ribosomal RNA
Source: RNAcentral